UUUUUCAUGUUGUUUAACUUUCUGAUUUGGUUUCUUUAAAUCUUUUGAGGUUAUUUUGUUUGGAAUAGAACUUGACUAGAGAGAACACAUCGGCAACGAAGCCAUACAUUGAGAUAUGUGGUGUCAAAUAUAACUAAUGAUUGCAAAUGCAAGUUAUAAAGUAUCUCAAGUGUGGAGAGUAAAGGACUCAAAAUGAGAUUGCCAAGAUACUAACAUUCAGUGAUUAAGUAUGUGCUCAAGAAUGUUCAACAUGUAUGUUUCUAAUUCGGGUUUGGUGGGUAUCUUCCACAAAGAUGCAUCAUCUAUUGAGCUGCCACAUAUAGAGAAAUAAAUAAACAUGGAGAAGAGUCGAGACAUAUUUAGUAGAACUCUAUAGAAGAAGAGAUGAAUAUAAUAGAGAGCCAUGUAAAAGCUCCACUUUUU
Non-coding RNA from Camelina sativa (false flax), 423 nucleotides. The record is from RefSeq and is a predicted model, not a curated record. Lineage: Eukaryota; Viridiplantae; Streptophyta; Magnoliopsida; Brassicales; Brassicaceae.